GAGUAACCUGCCCUUGACUCUGGGAUAAGCCUGGGAAACCGGGUCUAAUACUGGAUACGACCUUCCCGCGCAUGCGGUGUUGGUGGAAAGCUUUUGUGGUUUUGGAUGGACUCGCGGCCUAUCAGCUUGUUGGUGGGGUAAUGGCCUACCAAGGCGACGACGGGUAGCCGGCCUGAGAGGGUGACCGGCCACACUGGGACUGAGACACGGCCCAGACUCCUACGGGAGGCAGCAGUGGGGAAUAUUGCACAAUGGGCGCAAGCCUGAUGCAGCGACGCCGCGUGAGGGAUGAAGGCCUUCGGGUUGUAAACCUCUUUCAGUAGGGAAGAAGCUGAUUCCUUUUGGGGUUGGUGACGGUACCUGCAGAAGAAGCGCCGGCUAACUACGUGCCAGCAGCCGCGGUAAUACGUAGGGCGCAAGCGUUAUCCGGAAUUAUUGGGCGUAAAGAGCUC
Molecule: ribosomal RNA, 452 nt
Filed under: Arthrobacter sp.
Lineage: Bacteria; Bacillati; Actinomycetota; Actinomycetes; Micrococcales; Micrococcaceae
Also listed under: 1 other name
Description: bacterial SSU rRNA
Rfam family: Bacterial small subunit ribosomal RNA
Source: RNAcentral